AUUGAACGCUGGCGGMAGCCCUAACACAUGCAAGUCGAGCGGCAGCACGGGUACUUGUACCUGGUGGCGAGCGGCGGACGGGUGAGUAAUGCCUAGGGAAUCUGCCUGGUAGUGGGGGAUAACGCUCGGAAACGGACGCUAAUACCGCAUACGCCUACGGGAGAAAGCAGGGGACUUCGGGCCUUGCGCUAUCAGAUGAGCCUAGCGUCGGAUUAGCUAGUUGGUGAGGUAAUGGCUCACCAAGGCGACGAUCCGUAACUGGUCUGAGAGGAUGAUCAGUCACACUGGAAUGAGACWWCGGUCCAGACCCUACGGGAGGCAGCAGUGGGGAAUAUUGGACAAUGGGCGAAAGCCUGAUCCAGCCAUGCCGCCGUGUGUGAAGAAGGUCUUAGGGUCGUAAAGCUCUUUUACCCGAGWUGAUAAUGACAGUAUCGGGAGAAUAAGCUCCGGCUAACUCCGUGC
This 462-nucleotide ribosomal RNA is filed under the name uncultured Gammaproteobacteria bacterium. RNAcentral describes it as "bacterial SSU rRNA". It matches the Rfam family "Bacterial small subunit ribosomal RNA", at positions 30 to 508 of the family's 1533-position model. The record is from RNAcentral. Lineage: Bacteria; Pseudomonadati; Pseudomonadota; Gammaproteobacteria.